ACGGGUGAGUAAUGCGUAGGAAGCUACCCGAUAGAGGGGGAUACCAGUUGGAAACGACUGUUAAUACCGCAUAAUGUCUACGGACCAAAGUGUGGGACCUUCGGGCCACAUGCUAUCGGAUGCGCCUACGUGGGAUUAGCUAGUUGGUGAGGUAAUGGCUCACCAAGGCGACGAUCUCUAGCUGGUUUGAGAGGAUGAUCAGCCACACUGGAACUGAGACACGGUCCAGACUCCUACGGGAGGCAGCAGUGGGGAAUAUUGGACAAUGGGCGCAAGCCUGAUCCAGCCAUGCCGCGUGUGUGAAGAAGGCCUUCGGGUUGUAAAGCACUUUCAGCGAGGAGGAAGGGAGUUGUGUUAAUAGCACGGCUUUUUGACGUUACUCGCAGAAGAAGCACCGGCUAACUCUGUGCCAGCAGCCGCGGUAAUACAGAGGGUGCAAGCGUUAAUCGGAAUUACUGGGCGUAAAGCGCACGCAGGCGGUUGGUUAAGUCAGAUGUGAAAGCCCCGGGCUCAACCUGGGAAUUGCAUUUGAAACUGGCCAACUAGAGUAUGUGAGAGGGGGGUAGAAUUCCAAGUGUAGCGGUGAAAUGCGUAGAGAUUUGGAGGAAUACCAGUGGCGAAGGCGGCCCCCUGGCACAAUACUGACGCUCAGGUGCGAAAGCGUGGGGAGCAAACAGGAUUAGAUACCCUGGUAGUCCACGCCGUAAACGAUGUCUACUAGCUGUUCGUGGUCUUGUACUGUGAGUAGCGCAGCUAACGCACUAAGUAGACCGCCUGGGGAGUACGGUCGCAAGAUUAAAACUCAAAUGAAUUGACGGGGGCCCGCACAAGCGGUGGAAGCAUGUGGUUUAAUUCGACGCAACGCGAAGAACCUUACCUACUCUUGACAUC
This 891-nucleotide ribosomal RNA is filed under the name Rheinheimera sp. D8. RNAcentral describes it as "bacterial SSU rRNA". It matches the Rfam family "Bacterial small subunit ribosomal RNA", at positions 102 to 988 of the family's 1533-position model. The record is from RNAcentral. Lineage: Bacteria; Pseudomonadati; Pseudomonadota; Gammaproteobacteria; Chromatiales; Chromatiaceae.